UCCUGGUGGUCUCCAUGAUGUCCCCAAGCCCCCCAGGGUGGUUUUGGUGGUCUCCAUGGUGUCCCCAAAGCCCACCAUGAUGUUCCUGGUGGUCUCCAUGAUGUCCCCAAGCCCCCCAAGAUGUUCCUGGUGGUCACCAAGCCCCCC
RNAcentral lists this long non-coding RNA (147 nucleotides) under Parus major (Great Tit). Its description in RNAcentral is "lncRNA (ENSPMJG00000002288.1)". Lineage: Eukaryota; Metazoa; Chordata; Aves; Passeriformes; Paridae. The record is from RNAcentral.